UACGGAGGGUGCAAGCGUUGUUCGGAAUUAUUGGGCGUAAAGCGCGUGUAGGCGGCCAGAUAAGUUGGGUGUGAAAGCCCUCGGCUUAACCGAGGAAGUGCGCCCAAAACUGCUUGGCUUGAGUACCGGAGAGGAUGGUGGAAUUCCCGGUGUAGAGGUGAAAUUCGUAGAUAUCGGGAGGAACACCAGUGGCGAAGGCGACCAUCUGGACGGAUACUGACGCUGAGACGCGAAAGCGUGGGGAGCAAACAGG
Molecule: ribosomal RNA, 253 nt
Filed under: uncultured bacterium
Lineage: Bacteria
Description: partial 16S ribosomal RNA
Rfam family: Bacterial small subunit ribosomal RNA
Source: RNAcentral